UAGGGAAUCUUCGGCAAUGGGGGCAACCCUGACCGAGCAACGCCGCGUGAGUGAAGAAGGUUUUCGGAUCGUAAAGCUCUGUUGUAAGUCAAGAACGGGUGUGAGAGUGGAAAUUUCACACUGUGACGGUAGCUUACCAGAAAGGGACGGCUAACUACGUGCCAGCAGCCGCGGUAAUACGUAGGUCCCGAGCGUUGUCCGGAUGUAUUGGGCGUAAAGCGAGCGCAGGCGGUUUGAUAAGUCUGAAGUUAAAGGCUGUGGCUCAACCAUAGUUCGCUUUGGAAACUGUCAAACUUGAGUGCAGAAGGGGAGAGUGGAAUUCCAUGUGUAGCGGUGAAAUGCGUAGAUAUAUGGAGGAACGCCGGUGGCGAAAGCGGCUCUCUGGUCUGUAACUGACGCUGAGGCUCGAAAGCGUGGGGAGCGAACAGG
RNAcentral lists this ribosomal RNA (429 nucleotides) under bacterium. RNAcentral's name for it is "partial 16S ribosomal RNA". It matches the Rfam family "Bacterial small subunit ribosomal RNA", at positions 355 to 776 of the family's 1533-position model. The record is from RNAcentral.